CUUUACUCAUCGAACCUUCUAGAACACAACUGCAUAUCCACUAUGUCAACGUCAGCAGCCGACGCCGUGGCCGGAGAAAUCACCGGUACCGACGACGGUGUUCUAGAAACUCCAUUCCUUGACUCGGAACGUUGGAACAUCCUCCAGAGUGUAACGGAGGAAGGAGGCUACGCAUACGCAACCAUGACGUCGCUCGCGGCGGCCGGAGAUAUACGAGCGGCGGAGGCGGCGAAAGAGAUGGCGUGGGAACAGUUACAUUCAGGUCCAUGGCAUUCGGUUGUUCCUAUAUGGAGAGAUGCGUAUUCAAUGGCGUGUAUGCAUUUGGCGAAACUUCAUUAUGCUAAUGGUGAGUUUAAUGAAGCGAUUAAAGCUUUAGAUAUGGGGAUUAUUAUGGGAGGAAUGAUGCUUAGGGAUGAAUUGAACCUCGCGAUUCGAAAGGCGUCGGAGAAGGAGAAAGCGAAGAGUGAUCUCGGAGAAAAAGGUGAAUCAGAGAUUAAAUUUGUUUCUCAAGAAAUUAACGUGGCGGAGGUGCAGCAGUCGCUACCUAUUAAGUCUCUGUCUUGUAAGUUAGUAGGGAAAAGGCCAGCCUUAUCGUUGGAGGCAUUUCUGAGAGAGCAUUAUUUAUCAGGAACUCCGGUGGUAAUCAGAGAUUCCAUGGAUCACUGGCCUGCUAAGAGUAGG
Molecule: unclassified non-coding RNA, 681 nt
Filed under: Hevea brasiliensis (rubber tree)
Lineage: Eukaryota; Viridiplantae; Streptophyta; Magnoliopsida; Malpighiales; Euphorbiaceae
Source: RNAcentral